CCUACGGGUGGCAGCAGUGGGGAAUAUUGGGCAAUGGGCGCAAGCCUGACCCAGCAACGCCGCGUGAAGGAAGAAGGCUUUCGGGUUGUAAACUUCUUUUAUUAAGGACGAAGCAAUGACGGUACUUAAUGAAUAAGCUCCGGCUAACUACGUGCCAGCAGCCGCGGUAAUACGUAGGGAGCAAGCGUUAUCCGGAUUUACUGGGUGUAAAGGGCGUGUAGGCGGGAGUGCAAGUCAGAUGUGAAAACUAUGGGCUCAACCCAUAGCCUGCAUUUGAAACUGUACUUCUUGAGUACUGGAGAGGCAGGCGGAAUUCCGUGUGUAGCGGUGAAAUGCGUAGAUAUACGGUGGAACACCAGUGGCGAAGGCGGCCUGCUGGACAGCAACUGACGCUGAGGCGCGAAAGCGUGGGGAGCAAACAGGAUUAGAUACCCCGGUAGUC
RNAcentral lists this ribosomal RNA (442 nucleotides) under uncultured bacterium. RNAcentral's name for it is "bacterial SSU rRNA". It matches the Rfam family "Bacterial small subunit ribosomal RNA", at positions 338 to 795 of the family's 1533-position model. The record is from RNAcentral.